AUGGCUCAGUUGGUAGAGCAUGGUGUUUGCAACGCCAGGGUUGUGGGUUCGAUUCCCACU
This 60-nucleotide transfer RNA is filed under the name Salmo salar (Atlantic salmon). It matches the Rfam family "tRNA", at positions 7 to 64 of the family's 71-position model. From Rfam's summary of the family: Transfer RNA (tRNA) molecules are approximately 80 nucleotides in length. Their secondary structure includes four short double-helical elements and three loops (D, anti-codon, and T loops). Further hydrogen bonds mediate the characteristic L-shaped molecular structure. tRNAs have two regions of fundamental functional importance: the anti-codon, which is responsible for specific mRNA codon recognition, and the 3' end, to which the tRNAs corresponding amino acid is attached (by aminoacyl-tRNA synthetases). tRNAs cope with the degeneracy of the genetic code in two manners: having more than one tRNA (with a specific anti-codon) for a particular amino acid; and 'wobble' base-pairing, i.e. permitting non-standard base-pairing at the 3rd anti-codon position. RNAcentral also lists the same sequence under 1 other name. Lineage: Eukaryota; Metazoa; Chordata; Actinopteri; Salmoniformes; Salmonidae. The record is from Rfam by way of RNAcentral.